RNAcentral lists this ribosomal RNA (301 nucleotides) under uncultured bacterium. RNAcentral describes it as "partial 16S ribosomal RNA". It matches the Rfam family "Bacterial small subunit ribosomal RNA", at positions 509 to 807 of the family's 1533-position model. The record is from RNAcentral.
CAGUAGCCACGGGAAUACGGAGGAUCCAAGCGUUAUCCGGAAUCAUUGGGUUUAAAGGGUCCGUAGGCGGUCUUGUAAGUCAGUGGUGAAAGCCCAUCGCUCAACGGUGGAACGGCCAUUGAUACUGCAGGACUUGAAUUAUUGGGAAGUAACUAGAAUAUGUAGUGUAGCGGUGAAAUGCUUAGAGAUUACAUGGAAUACCAAUUGCGAAGGCAGGUUACUACCAAUUGAUUGACGCUGAUGGACGAAAGCGUGGGUAGCGAACAGGAUUAGAUACCCCCGUAGUCCCUGUCUCUUAUAC